RNAcentral lists this ribosomal RNA (495 nucleotides) under uncultured bacterium. Its description in RNAcentral is "partial 16S ribosomal RNA". It matches the Rfam family "Bacterial small subunit ribosomal RNA", at positions 28 to 507 of the family's 1533-position model. The record is from RNAcentral.
GACGAACGCUGGCGGCGUGCCUAAUACAUGCAAGUAGAACGCUGAAGGAGGAGCUUGCUUCUCUGGAUGAGUUGCGAACGGGUGAGUAACGCGUAGGUAACCUGCCUGGUAGCGGGGGAUAACUAUUGGAAACGAUAGCUAAUACCGCAUAAUAGUAGAUGUUGCAUGACAUUUGCUUAAAAGGUGCAAUUGCAUCACUACCAGAUGGACCUGCGUUGUAUUAGCUAGUUGGUGGGGUAACGGCUCACCAAGGCGACGAUACAUAGCCGACCUGAGAGGGUGAUCGGCCACACUGGGACUGAGACACGGCCCAGACUCCUACGGGAGGCAGCAGUAGGGAAUCUUCGGCAAUGGACGGAAGUCUGACCGAGCCACGCCGCGUGAGUGAAGAAGGUUUUCGGAUCGUAAAGCUCUGUUGUAAGAGAAGAACGAGUGUGAGAGUGGAAAGUUCACACUGUGACGGUAUCUGACCAGAAAGGGACGGCUAACUACGUG